This is a long non-coding RNA of Poecilia reticulata (guppy), 770 nucleotides long. RefSeq lists it as uncharacterized. NCBI's taxonomy places the organism in Eukaryota, Metazoa, Chordata, Actinopteri, Cyprinodontiformes, Poeciliidae. The record is from RefSeq and is a predicted model, not a curated record.
GUUCCUGCUCCGCCAUGAUGGACGUCAAAACAACCAACGCGCUCUGAUAGAGCCUGCCAGAAAACAGAAAUCUGUAGCCUAAUAUCGCUUUUAUUUAGUUGAUUUCACUUUUAAAAUGGUCAUAGGGUGCUGCGCGGUCGUCUGCUGAAAAAGACAAGGAUGCAAACCAUUUUAUUUUAUAAGUUUUAAUGAGGAAAGAUGCCGAAGACGAUGGAUCGCAGCCGUUAAUCAUAAUGACCGUCAGCCCUCGGUGUAAUCGCGGAUUUGCAGCGAACACUUUUUACAAGAUUAAAGCCACCAGAUGCCCGGGAGAAACUGGCCAAACCCCCGUAAACUCACAGCUCUUUUUCUAGAGCUACCCUUUCUUGUGGAGAGCAGCAGGAAUGCCAGCCAUCUUCCCAUCAGCACGAGACGCCGCAACAUGUUCUCUUUAAAGAGGGUGUUUACAGUGAGCCGUUCCGCUGAUGUGGGAUAGAUUUAUUGCUUAUUUACUCUCAGGCUUGGCCUGGCUUUUUGUUGCUCCCCUUUCUGAUCACUUUCGAUGCCUCACGCCAGACCACGAAGUGAUGGCGGCAUGUAAACACAACCAAUGAGAGCUUGAGUCCAGGAAUGUGUGUUGGUGCUUGUGUUGGUGUGAGAACAGGGCAUGCAAUCUGUGCAAACACACCCAUGCCUGCAAAUGUGUUUGUGUAUUUAUACAGAGGAUCUGUACAUACAUUUAUGCAUCAGCACCACUAACUUGUGUAUUUUUAAACUUUUUUAGCAUUCCA